RNAcentral lists this RNase P RNA (433 nucleotides) under Spartobacteria bacterium Tous-C9RFEB. RNAcentral's name for it is "RNase P RNA component class A". It matches the Rfam family "Bacterial RNase P class A". From Rfam's summary of the family: Ribonuclease P (RNase P) is a ubiquitous endoribonuclease, found in archaea, bacteria and eukarya as well as chloroplasts and mitochondria. The record is from RNAcentral. Lineage: Bacteria; Pseudomonadati; Verrucomicrobiota; Spartobacteria.
CAGUGAUGGCGGACGGUCGCUCAGCGUAUGCCGCAAGGCUGCGUGGAGAGGAAAGUCCGGACACCAUAAGGCAGCAUGCCGUGGAGAACACGCGGGAAACCGAGGCGAAAGCUGCGGUUGACGGAAAGUGUCACAGAAAACAAACCGCCGAUGCGCGCAAGCGUUUCGGUAAGGGUGAAAAGGCGGGGUAAGAGCCCACCGCCCCAAGCGCAAGCGAGGGGGCACGAAAAACCCCAUGUGGUGCAAGACAGAACAGGAGAGGAUCGGGUCGCCUGCCCGCUUCACUGCGCAAGCAGUGGGACUCUCCGGGUAUUGGUCGCAGCCCGCAAGGGCUGCCUCCCGCCGCAAGGUGUGGGGCAAGACAAAUGACCGUCCACGCCGGUGGCGCAAGCUAUCGGCCGGACAGAAUCCGGCUUACAGCCAUCCCCAAGCG